This 1095-nucleotide ribosomal RNA is filed under the name Flavobacterium sp. AUG14. RNAcentral describes it as "bacterial SSU rRNA". It matches the Rfam family "Bacterial small subunit ribosomal RNA", at positions 56 to 1150 of the family's 1533-position model. Lineage: Bacteria; Pseudomonadati; Bacteroidota; Flavobacteriia; Flavobacteriales; Flavobacteriaceae. The record is from RNAcentral.
UGCAGUCGAGGGGUAGUUAUCUUCGGAUAAUGAGACCGGCGCACGGGUGCGUAACGCGUAUGCAAUCUACCUUUCACAGAGGGAUAGCCCAGAGAAAUUUGGAUUAAUACCUCAUAGUAUAGUAGUCUCGCAUGAGACCACUAUUAAAGAUUUAUCGGUGAAAGAUGAGCAUGCGUCCCAUUAGUUAGUUGGUAAGGUAACGGCUUACCAAGACUACGAUGGGUAGGGGUCCUGAGAGGGAGAUCCCCCACACUGGUACUGAGACACGGACCAGACUCCUACGGGAGGCAGCAGUGAGGAAUAUUGGACAAUGGGCGCAAGCCUGAUCCAGCCAUGCCGCGUGCAGGAUGACGGUCCUAUGGAUUGUAAACUGCUUUUAUACAGGAAGAAACACUGGUUCGUGAACCAGCUUGACGGUACUGUAAGAAUAAGGAUCGGCUAACUCCGUGCCAGCAGCCGCGGUAAUACGGAGGAUCCAAGCGUUAUCCGGAAUCAUUGGGUUUAAAGGGUCCGUAGGCGGUCAGAUAAGUCAGUGGUGAAAGCCCAUCGCUCAACGGUGGAACGGCCAUUGAUACUGUCUGACUUGAAUUAUUAGGAAGUAACUAGAAUAUGUAGUGUAGCGGUGAAAUGCUUAGAGAUUACAUGGAAUACCAAUUGCGAAGGCAGGUUACUACUAAUAUAUUGACGCUGAUGGACGAAAGCGUGGGUAGCGAACAGGAUUAGAUACCCUGGUAGUCCACGCCGUAAACGAUGGAUACUAGCUGUUGGGAGCAAUCUCAGUGGCUAAGCGAAAGUGAUAAGUAUCCCACCUGGGGAGUACGAACGCAAGUUUGAAACUCAAAGGAAUUGACGGGGGCCCGCACAAGCGGUGGAGCAUGUGGUUUAAUUCGAUGAUACGCGAGGAACCUUACCAAGGCUUAAAUGUAGAUGGACCGGGUUUGGAAACAGACUUUUCCCAAGACAAUUUACAAGGUGCUGCAUGGUUGUCUUCAGCUCGUGCCCUUUAGGUGUCAGGGUUAAGUCCUUAUAACUAGCCGCAACCGCCUGUUUGUUAGUUGGCCAACCAAGUCAGUGUCGGGGAACUCUAACAAAAAC